AUAGUGUAUUCAAUGUAUUUAUUUAAGGAACUUAUAUCUAAGUCUACCAUAACAUAAUUGAGAACACGCUUUGUUAAUGUAAUAUGCUUCUCUUUUCAGUAUGUUAAUACUGACAAGUUAUAUGUAAAACAAUAAAGAAAUAUUGAAAACCGCGGUAAAAUUCUAAACAGAAAGUUCCUAAGCAAAUGGCAAACUCAAAAGCUCAAAAACAUCGAACGAAUGGAUAACAACUGUCAUAUUCAAGGCAGUCCUCGAACCCGAAAAGUUGAAGGUAUUAAUAUAAGUUGCAAUAACUUAUUUCCAAAUCCAGUAAAAUAUAAAUAAGUUUAAACUUAAUUCCUUUUAUCAUGUGAAAAUGGUGGAUUAAACCUGGUGUUAUAGCCUGGUAAAUCACUUGUAUGGCAGUCGCUUAUAACU
RNAcentral lists this long non-coding RNA (417 nucleotides) under Mytilus galloprovincialis (Mediterranean mussel). Lineage: Eukaryota; Metazoa; Mollusca; Bivalvia; Mytilida; Mytilidae. The record is from RNAcentral.